Molecule: ribosomal RNA, 683 nt
Filed under: Salmonella enterica subsp. enterica serovar Infantis
Lineage: Bacteria; Pseudomonadati; Pseudomonadota; Gammaproteobacteria; Enterobacterales; Enterobacteriaceae
Description: partial 23S ribosomal RNA
Rfam family: Bacterial large subunit ribosomal RNA
Source: RNAcentral
UUAGUGGAAGCGUCUGGAAAGGCGCGCGAUACAGGGUGACAGCCCCGUACACAAAAGCGCAUGUGCUGUGAGCUCGAUGAGUAGGGCGGGACACGUGGUAUCCUGUCUGAAUAUGGGGGGACCAUCCUCCAAGGCUAAAUACUCCUGACUGACCGAUAGUGAACCAGUACCGUGAGGGAAAGGCGAAAAGAACCCCGGCGAGGGGAGUGAAAAAGAACCUGAAACCGUGUACGUACAAGCAGUGGGAGCCCCACCACCAAAGCAUUCUCUGGUGUUGAAGGCCCUGCAAAGCAGCAUCGCGGUGGCGGAGCGUCGUUUGCGACGCCCAACACACAAAACAAGCGGUGAGUGCUUUGGGGUGGGGUGACUGCGUACCUUUUGUAUAAUGGGUCAGCGACUUAUAUUCUGUAGCAAGGUUAACCGAAUAGGGGAGCCGGAGGGAAACCGAGUCUUAAUUGGGCGUUAAGUUGCAGGGUAUAGACCCGAAACCCGGUGAUCUAGCCAUGGGCAGGUUGAAGGUUGGGUAACACUAACUGGAGGACCGAACCGACUAAUGUUGAAAAAUUAGCGGAUGACCUGUGGCUGGGGGUGAAAGGCCAAUCAAACCGGGAGAUAGCUGGUUCUCCCCGAAAGCUAUUUAGGUAGCGCCUCGUGAAUUCAUCUCCGGGGGUAGAGCACUGUUU